Molecule: microRNA precursor, 112 nt
Filed under: Phelipanche ramosa
Lineage: Eukaryota; Viridiplantae; Streptophyta; Magnoliopsida; Lamiales; Orobanchaceae
Description: miR172e
Source: RNAcentral
GUGUAGUAUCAUCAAGAUUCACAUGCAAAAAUUAAGUAGUGAAGUGAGCUUAUAUCAACAAUAUAUUCUCUCUACAUUUUUUUUGGUGCUGAGAAUCUUGAUGAUGCUGCAU